RNAcentral lists this ribosomal RNA (413 nucleotides) under uncultured bacterium. Its description in RNAcentral is "bacterial SSU rRNA". It matches the Rfam family "Bacterial small subunit ribosomal RNA", at positions 28 to 429 of the family's 1533-position model. The record is from RNAcentral.
GACGAACGCUGGCGGCGUGCCUAACACAUGCAAGUCGAACGAGAAAGGGGCUUCGGCUCCGAGUAAAGUGGCGCACGGGUGAGUAACACGUAGGUAACCUGCCUCUAAGAUUGGGAUAACAUGUCGAAAGACGUGCUAAUACCGAAUAAGACCACGGCUUCCUCGGAAGCAGGGGUCAAAGAUAGCCUCUACUUGUAAGCUAUCACUUAGAGAUGGGCCUGCGUACCAUAGCUAGUUGGUAGGGUAAUGGCCUACCAAGGCAAAGAUGGUUAGCUGGUCUGAGAGGAUGAUCAGCCACACUGGAACUGAGACACGGUCCAGACUCCUACGGAGGCAGCAGUGGGAAUAUUGCGCAAUGGGCGAAAGCCUGACGCAGCAACGCCGCGUGAGUGAUGAAGGCCUUCGGUCGUAAG